This 492-nucleotide ribosomal RNA is filed under the name uncultured bacterium. RNAcentral's name for it is "partial 16S ribosomal RNA". It matches the Rfam family "Bacterial small subunit ribosomal RNA", at positions 29 to 507 of the family's 1533-position model. The record is from RNAcentral.
AGUGAACGCUGGCGGUAGGCCUAACACAUGCAAGUCGAACGGCAGCACAGUAAGAGCUUGCUCUUACGGGUGGCGAGUGGCGGACGGGUGAGGAAUACAUCGGAAUCUACUUUUUCGUGGGGGAUAACGUAGGGAAACUUACGCUAAUACCGCAUACGACCUACGGGUGAAAGCAGGGGAUCUUCGGACCUUUCGCGAUUGAAUGAGCCGAUGUCGGAUUAGCUAGUUGGCGGGGUAAAGGCCCACCAAGGCGACGAUCCGUAGCUGGUCUGAGAGGAUGAUCAGCCACACUGAAACUGAGACACGGUCCAGACUCCUACGGGAGGCAGCAGUGGGGAAUAUUGGACAAUGGGCGCAAGCCUGAUCCAGCCAUACCGCGUGGGUGAAGAAGGCCUUCGGGUUGUAAAGCCCUUUUGUUGGGAAAGAAAAGCAGCAGGUUAAUACCCCGCUGUUCUGACGGUACCCAAAGAAUAAGCACCGGCUAACUUCGUG